GUGCCCUACCUUAGUUAAGUGACUACAUCUAAACAUCAUACUGGCAAUAGACAUCAUGCAUUCAGCCCAAUGACCAAAGAGGUCGCUUUGCUAUUCAGCCUUGUCU
Melitaea cinxia (Glanville fritillary) is the source of this 106-nucleotide long non-coding RNA. RefSeq lists it as uncharacterized. The transcript is spliced from 3 exons. The record is from RefSeq and is a predicted model, not a curated record. Lineage: Eukaryota; Metazoa; Arthropoda; Insecta; Lepidoptera; Nymphalidae.